Molecule: long non-coding RNA, 548 nt
Organism: Elgaria multicarinata webbii
Lineage: Eukaryota; Metazoa; Chordata; Lepidosauria; Squamata; Anguidae
Exons: 3
Source: RefSeq, a predicted model, not a curated record
GACUCUCUUAGGAAAUCCAUUUGCCAUGGAAUAUUGUUUCAAAACAUUAAAGCGGUCCCGAGGAGUAGUGGGCGUUCCCCCUGCGAGUGACUUGCCCAUUUAUAAGGGGCUUGGGGAGGCAAAUUUGUGUGGUUCGUCUUGAGAAGAGACUCCAAAUGGCUGCUUUUAUCAAGCUUAAUUUCUUUCUCCUGAUGGUGCUCCUGGCUCUAGCCUCAGCUGUCUGCCUGGGCAUCUGCGACGGCGAAUGGGGUUGUGCGAACUUUAGGGGGUACUGCCGCAAGGAUUGUUUCCCCCAGGAAAAAUCUCUGGGACCUGAGGACUGUGCUGGAGACUUGGUUUGCUGUGUGUCAAGUGCAUUGGGAUAGCCAUCUGUAUUAAUCUCAGUAAAUCAGUUGUGAAGAAAAUAACUUGAUCCAGAGGAUGUUUUACCCCUGUGAUGUAGAAGCUAUGCUUGGAGAAUGCCCACUGAUGUCAACACAACCAUGUCAGUGUCAUUACAGCAAACAGCCUGCAGACAAUAAAAUAAAAUAUGUUUCCCCUCUGUUCUU